This 628-nucleotide ribosomal RNA is filed under the name Chaetoceros neogracilis. RNAcentral's name for it is "partial large subunit ribosomal RNA". It matches the Rfam family "Eukaryotic large subunit ribosomal RNA", at positions 22 to 672 of the family's 3401-position model. Lineage: Eukaryota; Bacillariophyta; Thalassiosirophyceae; Chaetocerotales; Chaetocerotaceae. The record is from RNAcentral.
UACCCGCUGAAUUAAGCAUAUAAUUAAGCGGAGGAAAAGAAAAUAACUAUGAUUCCCUCAGUAAGGGCGACUGAAGCGGGAACAGCUCAUUCUGUGAAUCUCUGCUUCGGCAGCGAGUUGUGGAAAGGCAUGUCAGCUAAGCUACUGGUCUAAGUCUCUUGGAAAAGAGCGCUUGAAAGGGUGACAGCCCCGUCUUUGACUGGUUAGCUGUGGCUUUAGCACAUGUUUUAUACGAGUCGAGUUGCUUGGGAUUGCAGCUCUAAGUGGGUGGUAAAUUCCAUCUAAAGCUAAAUAUUGGUGGGACACCGAUAGCGUACAAGUACCGUGAGGGAAAGAUGCAAAGAACUUUGAAAAGAGAGUUAAAGAGUACCUGAAAUUGCUGAAAUGGAAGCGAAGGAAACCAGUGCCAUUCUUCACUAUUUUUCUGUUCCUACUUGUGGGAAUAGCGCUGUGGUGUUGAAUAGGCCAGCGUGAGUUUGUACCGGGGGAUAACACUCUUCAGAAGGCAGCUAGAUUUCCUAGCGAUUGCUGUUGAGCUGUGCUCUGGUACAGACUGAGGCUAGUCACUUGUGCUCGUGACGCUGGCGAAAUGGUUUUCUUCACCCCGUCUUGAAACACGGACCAAGGA